This 497-nucleotide ribosomal RNA is filed under the name uncultured bacterium. Its description in RNAcentral is "partial 16S ribosomal RNA". It matches the Rfam family "Bacterial small subunit ribosomal RNA", at positions 28 to 507 of the family's 1533-position model. The record is from RNAcentral.
GAUGAACGCUGGCGGCGUGCCUAAUACAUGCAAGUCGAGCGAACAGACGAGGAGCUUGCUCCUCCCACGUUAGCGGCGAACGGGUGAGUAACACGUGGAUAACCUACCUAUAAGACUGGGAUAACUUCUGGAAACGGCAGCUAAUACCGGAUACUAUAUUGAACCGCAUGGUUCCAUCGUGAAAGACGGUUUUGCUGUCACUUAUAUCUCGACCCGCGCCGCAUUAGCUAGUUGGUAAGCUAACGGCUUACCAAGGCAACGAUGCGUAGCCGACCUGAGAGGGGGGUCGGCCACACGGGAAGGGAGACACGGACCAGAGGCCUACGGGAGGGAGCAGAAGGGAAUCGUCCGCAAUGGGCGAGAACAUUACGCAGUAGCGCCGCGUGAGAGAUGAAAGUGUUGGGAUCGGAAAACUCUGUUAUGAGGGAAGAACAAAUGUGAGAGUAACUAUGCACGAAUUGACGGUACCUAAACAGAAAGCCCCGGCUAACUACGUG